UGAAGGUGAUGCUGCUAUAACAUCUAUCACCCCAUUGAUCACCAGGGUUGAUUCUGCUGACCUGGCUGGCUAGGUGUGUGUCCCUCUCCUCCCUUA
This 96-nucleotide small nuclear RNA is filed under the name Myotis davidii. Its description in RNAcentral is "7SK RNA". It matches the Rfam family "7SK RNA", at positions 6 to 101 of the family's 331-position model. From Rfam's summary of the family: 7SK was discovered as an abundant small nuclear RNA in the mid-70s but a possible function has only recently been suggested. The record is from Rfam by way of RNAcentral. Lineage: Eukaryota; Metazoa; Chordata; Mammalia; Chiroptera; Vespertilionidae.